RNAcentral lists this ribosomal RNA (468 nucleotides) under uncultured bacterium. RNAcentral's name for it is "partial 16S ribosomal RNA". It matches the Rfam family "Bacterial small subunit ribosomal RNA", at positions 28 to 507 of the family's 1533-position model. The record is from RNAcentral.
GACGAACGCUGGCGGCGUGCUUAACACAUGCAAGUCGAACGGAAAGGCCCUGCUUUUGUGGGGUGCUCGAGUGGCGAACGGGUGAGUAACACGUGAGUAACCUGCCCUUGACUUUGGGAUAACUUCAGGAAACUGGGGCUAAUACCGGAUAGGAGCUCCUGCUGCAUGGUGGGGGUUGGAAAGUUUCGGCGGUUGGGGAUGGACUCGCGGCUUAUCAGCUUGUUUGUGGGGUAGUGGCUUACCAAGGCUUUGACGGGUAGCCGGCCUGAGAGGGUGACCGGCCACAAUGGGACUGAGAUACGGCCCAGACUCCUACGGGAGGCAGCAGUGGGGAAUAUUGCACAAUGGGCGGAAGCCUGAUGCAGCAACGCCGCGUGCGGGAUGACGGCCUUCGGGUUGUAAACCGCUUUCGCCUGUGACGAAGCGUGAGUGACGGUAAUGGGUAAAGAAGCACCGGCUAACUACGUG